This 780-nucleotide long non-coding RNA is filed under the name Mustela putorius furo (domestic ferret). RNAcentral's name for it is "lncRNA (ENSMPUG00000025341.1)". Lineage: Eukaryota; Metazoa; Chordata; Mammalia; Carnivora; Mustelidae. The record is from RNAcentral.
CGCGGGAGAAAAGCCCUGCGAGGAAAUUCAACCUGGGCAGCCCGAAACGGGCUCCCGCCGGCCGCGCCCGCACCCUCCGCCCGGGGCUUCGGGGACCAGCAUACAAUAGCGCAGCCGGGGGCCUGGGAAGCCCCACUCGCCCCAGAGGAGGAGCCGGUGGACUUGGUUCUCGCCAGGGAGACGUGGCAUCUCAGCAGCCCCUCAGAGCCCAUCUGAACUCCGGCCCGGAAGGCCACCCCCGGCCGGAGUAACCGUCUCCCGACCUCGGGGCCGUGUGUCCCCGCCUUUUGUGGUGCAAAUGAGGAGCGCUCCGGGGCCCGGGGGGCGGCGCUCGCCCGGGACAAAGUUUGCCCGCUGCUUCUCCGACACUUCCUUCACACUUUGUUUGAGCUCGGCGCGGGAAGGUCGGCGCGGGAAGGUCGGAUCCAUCCAGGGAUCCCCCCUGCCGGCGUGGAGGAAUGCUGAGGAAGGCCUAUAGGACUAGUUUUCAUGGUGAGUCCGACAAGGAAAAAGAGAGAGGGUUACAACAGCAGCACAGUUCAUGAGGACAACUGUUUAAGAGGACUUGUCCUUAUGUGUCUCCAGUGCUCCAAACCUGGUAAGAAGGACUUCUGGUCCUCGGUCCCCUUCCCCACCUUACUGUCCUUUCUGGAGUCUCAGACCCACAGCUUCACGCUUUUCUUGACUUUUAACCAUGUACCUUUUGUCAGGGCCUUUGGGUGACCUCUUCCUUUUUGAAGUUAGGCCUCCUCUUUCUGUAUUUUUAGACCAUAAAUGAAC